This 88-nucleotide transfer RNA is filed under the name Candidatus Curtissbacteria bacterium RIFCSPHIGHO2_12_41_11. Its description in RNAcentral is "tRNA-Leu". It matches the Rfam family "tRNA". From Rfam's summary of the family: Transfer RNA (tRNA) molecules are approximately 80 nucleotides in length. Their secondary structure includes four short double-helical elements and three loops (D, anti-codon, and T loops). Further hydrogen bonds mediate the characteristic L-shaped molecular structure. tRNAs have two regions of fundamental functional importance: the anti-codon, which is responsible for specific mRNA codon recognition, and the 3' end, to which the tRNAs corresponding amino acid is attached (by aminoacyl-tRNA synthetases). tRNAs cope with the degeneracy of the genetic code in two manners: having more than one tRNA (with a specific anti-codon) for a particular amino acid; and 'wobble' base-pairing, i.e. permitting non-standard base-pairing at the 3rd anti-codon position. Lineage: Bacteria; Candidatus Curtissiibacteriota. RNAcentral also lists the same sequence under 1 other name. The record is from RNAcentral.
GCCGAGGUGAUGGAAUGGUAGACAUGUGGGUCUCAAAAACCCAUGGGAGUAAAAUCCCGUGAGAGUUCGAAUCUCUCCCUCGGCACAA